ACAACUACUUAAAACUUUUGACAUAAUUAUUAACUGCACAUUGGAGAACUGUUGUUGGCAUUCACAGGGGUAACGUUAUGACAGAGUUCCCUUGUGAUACCGUGGUAGGGAUUUGCCAGGGUGUUCAUUCAUUGGUUUAUUGGACAAGUAUUUGUUGAUAUUAUUGCCAGGCACAAUUCUUAUUGCUGGUGGUGGAGCAAUGAACAAAGCACAAAAAAGUAAAUUAUUUAGUACAUUAGAAGGGGAGGGUGCUAUGGAAACAGAAUAAGAAUGUGGGGGAAGGUGGUGCAUUUAAGAAUGUGGUCAUAGUGGGCCUCACUGGGAAGGUGUCUCUUGAGUGAACCCUUGAAGGAAGUAGGGGUGAGGGGUACAGAUGCUUAGGAGAAGAGCACCCCACUGAAGCCUUCGUGUGGAUUGUUCUGUCCAGCUCCCUUCUUAACCUGGGAAUCUGCAUCCACCUGACCCCUGUCUGUUGGCUGACUCCCAUCACAGAUUCUUGGAAGUCCUGUGUCCAAUGAGGAAAAUGCAGAAAACUACUUGAAGCUGCAUCUGUCACCUGUGUUCCUGCGGCAGGUGCCCUCUCUCCACAGUGCUGGGACUUUGCCACGGUGUGAACAGAGCCCCUUCGGAGCAUACAUCAGAGCCCUUGUAUGAGCUACAAGGGAGACACAGCAGAGCUGACGACGAGGCCAACAACACGAGGGGAGAGCAUGGCUGGGAGGCGGCCCUGAGCCCAAGCGCGGUUCCCAUCAAGUCACAGCCUCCCAAGCUGCGAGGGCUAUGCUUACGGCUUGCCACUUGGGCCCCAAAUGCUGUCUAGUUGCCUUUCUGUCACCUGACUUUGAGUCACUUUUCUGUUCUUUAUCAGCCUUCUCCAGAGUACUGAAUGGGCAGAUAAAAGAGGGAAUGUAAAUUGCUCAAUCAUGGUAUUUUAAUUGAGAGGUUUAGGGGAAAUAUCUAGGUUAUUUAUGAAGGUCGAUCUUCUGUGUCGUUCACCCCCUCAGAAUCGUGAAAGUUUUGCUGGGCUGGGUGAUUACAGAACUGAAGAAUGAUGAGGGCAGAAAGAUACCUGGAGCCCAGCGAACCCAGCUCCUGCAUUUGAAAAAGAUUUAGGGAUCCUCUUGCCACGUUGCAUGGCAUCCGUCUGUUCCUUGUGCUAGACUGGGGUCCACCUGAUCACAUGUGACGCCUGUUUCCUCCGAGCCUGGCACUGUGCCUGGCACAUGGAAGGUAUUAAAAAAGUGUUUGUUGAA
Felis catus (domestic cat) is the source of this 1253-nucleotide long non-coding RNA. RefSeq lists it as uncharacterized. The record is from RefSeq and is a predicted model, not a curated record. Lineage: Eukaryota; Metazoa; Chordata; Mammalia; Carnivora; Felidae. The transcript has 4 exons.